GGGUUGUGAGGUUAAGCGACCAAGCGUACACGGUGGAUGCCCUGGCAGUCAGAGGCGAUGAAGGACGUGCUAAUCUGCGAUAAGCGCCGGUAAGGUGAUAUGAACCGUUAUAACCGGCGAUUUCCGAAUGGGGAAACCCAGUGUGAUUCGUCACACUAUCAUUACGUGAAUACAUAGCGUAAUGAAGCGAACCGGGGGAACUGAAACAUCUAAGUACCCCGAGGAAAAGAAAUCAACCGAGAUUCCCCCAGUAGCGGCGAGCGAACGGGGAGGAGCCCAGAGCCUGAAUCAGCAUGUGUGUUAGUGGAAGCGUCUGGAAAGGCGCGCGAUACAGGGUGACAGCCCCGUACACAAAAGCGCACAUGUUGUGAGCUCGAUGAGUAGGGCGGGACACGUGGUAUCCUGUCUGAAUAUGGGGGGACCAUCCUCCAAGGCUAAAUACUCCUGACUGACCGAUAGUGAACCAGUACCGUGAGGGAAAGGCGAAAAGAACCCCGGCGAGGGGAGUGAAACAGAACCUGAAACCGUGUACGUACAAGCAGUGGGAGCCCCACCACUAAGCCAGUGGUGAACUCCACAUACGCAUCCUUUGUGGAAGAUGCGGUUAACGGAGCGAAAGCGACGUUCAACCUCA
This 634-nucleotide ribosomal RNA is filed under the name Salmonella enterica. Its description in RNAcentral is "partial 23S ribosomal RNA". It matches the Rfam family "Bacterial large subunit ribosomal RNA", at positions 1 to 654 of the family's 2925-position model. The record is from RNAcentral. Lineage: Bacteria; Pseudomonadati; Pseudomonadota; Gammaproteobacteria; Enterobacterales; Enterobacteriaceae. RNAcentral also lists the same sequence under 1 other name.